This 496-nucleotide ribosomal RNA is filed under the name uncultured bacterium. RNAcentral describes it as "partial 16S ribosomal RNA". It matches the Rfam family "Bacterial small subunit ribosomal RNA", at positions 29 to 507 of the family's 1533-position model. The record is from RNAcentral.
AUGAACGCUGGCGGCGUGCCUAAUACAUGCAGGUCGAGCGCACAGACGAGGAGCUUGCUCCUCUGACGUUAGCGGCGGACGGGUGAGUAACACGUGGAUAACCUACCUAUAAGACUGGGAUAACUUCGGGAAACCGGAGCUAAUACCGGAUAAUAUAUUGAACCGCAUGGUUCAAUAGUGAAAGACGGUUUUGCUGUCACUUAUAGAUGGAUCCGCGCCGCAUUAGCUAGUUGGUAAGGUAACGGCUUACCAAGGCAACGAUGCGUAGCCGACCUGAGAGGGUGAUCGGCCACACUGGAACUGAGACACGGUCCAGACUCCUACGGGAGGCAGCAGUAGGGAAUCUUCCGCAAUGGGCGAAAGCUUGACGGAGCAACGCCGCGUGAGUGAUGAAGGUCUUCGGAUCGUAAAACUCUGUUAUUAGGGAAGAACAAAUGUGUAAGUAACUAUGCACGUCUUGACGGUACCUAAUCAGAAAGCCACGGCUAACUACGUG